AGUGAACGCUGGCGGCAGGCCUAACACAUGCAAGUCGAGCGGCAGCGCGGGGGCAACCCUGGCGGCGAGCGGCGGACGGGUGAGGAAUUCGUCGGAAUCUGCCUUUUUGUGGGGGAUAACGUAGGGAAACUUACGCUAAUACCGCAUACGUCCUACGGGAGAAAGUGGGGGACCGCAAGGCCUCACGCAGAAAGAUGAGCCGACGACCGAUUAGCUAGUUGGUGGGGUAAAGGCCCACCAAGGCGACGAUCGGUAGCUGGUCUGAGAGGAUGAUCAGCCACACUGGGACUGAGACACGGCGCAGACUCCUACGGGAGGCAGCAGUGGGGAAUAUUGGACAAUGAGCGCAAGCCUGAUCCAGCCAUGCCGCGUGUGUGAAGAAGGCCUUCGGGUUGUAAAACACUUUUGUCCGGAAAGAAAUCCCUGGAGCUAAUACCUUCGAGGGAUGACGGUACCGGAAGAAUAAGCACCGGCUAACUUCGUG
Molecule: ribosomal RNA, 484 nt
Filed under: uncultured bacterium
Lineage: Bacteria
Description: partial 16S ribosomal RNA
Rfam family: Bacterial small subunit ribosomal RNA
Source: RNAcentral